AAUAGAUACCCGGGUAGUCCACGCCGUAAACGAUGAGUGCUAAGUGUUAGGGGGUUUCCGCCCCUUAGUGCUGCAGCUAACGCAUUAAGCACUCCGCCUGGGGAGUACGGUCGCAAGACUGAAACUCAAAGGAAUUGACGGGGGCCCGCACAAGCGGUGGAGCAUGUGGUUUAAUUCGAAGCAACGCGAAGAACCUUACCAGGUCUUGACAUCCCACUGACCGCUAUGGAGACAUAGCUUUCCCUUCGGGGACAGUGGUGACAGGUGGUGCAUGGUUGUCGUCAGCUCGUGUCGUGAGAUGUUGGGUUAAGUCCCGCAACGAGCGCAACCCUUGAUCUUAGUUGCCAUCAUUUAGUUGGGUCACUCUAAGGUGACUGCCGGUGACAAACCGGAGGAAGGUGGGGAUGACGUCAAAUCAUCAUGCCCCUUAUGACCUGGGCUACACACGUGCUACAAGUGGACGGUACAAACGGUUGCCAAACCCGCGAGGGGGAGCUAAUCCGAUAAAAACCCGUUCUCAGUUCGGAUUGUAGGCUGCAACUCGCCUAC
This 549-nucleotide ribosomal RNA is filed under the name uncultured bacterium. RNAcentral's name for it is "bacterial SSU rRNA". It matches the Rfam family "Bacterial small subunit ribosomal RNA", at positions 777 to 1319 of the family's 1533-position model. The record is from RNAcentral.